AUACCAUUCUCGGCCUUUUGGCUAAGAUCAAGUGUAGUAUCUGUUCUUAUCAGUUAAUAUCUGAUAUGUGGGCCAUGUGCCCACAAUGAUAUUAAAUUUAUUUUUUAUGGGGAAGGGUCCACCACACUAGCUUGCUAGUGGGGCCCUCGUGUGUACAAACUAAACAAUUUUGGAUUUGUUUGGACUCAGCUGAA
This is a non-coding RNA of Triticum aestivum (bread wheat), 194 nucleotides long. Lineage: Eukaryota; Viridiplantae; Streptophyta; Magnoliopsida; Poales; Poaceae. The record is from Rfam.